Molecule: ribosomal RNA, 1803 nt
Filed under: human gut metagenome
Description: bacterial LSU rRNA
Rfam family: Bacterial large subunit ribosomal RNA
Source: RNAcentral
UAAAGCGUAAAAGAGCGUAGAGUGAAUGCCUUGGCAUUGGGAGCCGAUGAAGGAACUGAAGGAAAUAUUGGAAAAAUAAAAACAUUCAGAAUACCUAAACAAUCUAAGUAGGGCGAGGAAGAGAAAUCAAACGAGAUUUCGUAAGUAGUGGCGAGCGAACGCGAAAGAGGCUAAACCAAGAGAAGAAAUUCUUUUGGGGUUACGGACUGCGAUAUGUAUCUGAGGACUUAGCAGAAUGGUAUGGGAAAGCCAACCAGAGAAUGUGAUAGUCAUGUAUGCGAAAAGGAAUCAGAGCUAGCAGGAUCCAAAGUACCGCGGGACACGAGGAAUCCCGUGGGAAGUCGGGGGGACCACCCUCCAAGCCUAAAUACUACCCAAUGACCGAUAGCGAAAAGUACUGUGAAGGAACGGUGAAAAGAACCCCGGGAGGGGAGUGAAAAGAACCUGAAACUCUAUGCUUACAAGCACAUAGAGCACGUCAAAGUGUGAUAUGGUACCUUUUGUAGAAUGGUCCGGCGAGUUAUUGUAUGCAGCAAGGUUAAGGUCUUCAGGACUGAAGCCGAAGCGAGAGCGAGUCUGACAAGGGCGAUAAGUUGUAUGCAAUAGACCCGAAACCGGGUGACCUAGCCAUGUUCAGGUUGAAGUGGAGGUAAAGCUCCAUGGAGGACCGAACCGACCUCCGUUGAAAAGGCGGCGGAUGAAAUGUGGCUAGCGGAGAAAUUCCAAUCGAACCCGGAAAUAGCUGGUUCUCCCCGAAAUAGCUUUAGGGCUAGCGUUGUAUUAGAUUUCUGGGGGUAAAGCACUGAAUAGGCUAGGGGCCGAGAGGUUACUGAACCUUAUCAAACUAAGAAUACCAGAAAAUUGAUGUACAGCAGUCAGACUAUGUGAGAUAAGUCUCAUAGUCAAAAGGGAAACAGCCCAGACCCACAGCUAAGGUCCCAAAACAGAUUUAAGUGGAAAAGGAUGUGGGAUUGCCCAGACAACCAGGAUGUUGGCUUAGAAGCAGCCACACAUUAAAAGAGUGCGUAAUAGCUCACUGGUCGAGUGAUCCUGCGCCGAAAAUUCAACGGGGCUAAAAUUUGUACCGAAGCUUGGGCUUGAUACAUUCGUAUCAGGGGUAGGGGAGCGUCAUGUAUGAGGUGAAGUCAUAGCGGAAGCGGUGGUGGAUUGUACAUGAGAGAGAAUGCCGGAAUGAGUAGCGAGAAUUAUGUGAGAAUCAUAAUGGCCGAAAAUCUAAGGUUUCCUGAGGAAGGUUCGUCCGCUCAGGGUAAGCCGGGAGCUAAGGUGAGGCGGAAACGCGUAGCCGAUGCACAUACGGUAGAGAUUCCGUAGCCUCCGAAAAGUAAAGCACAGGGACGCUUCAGAAGUGUUACGCCGGGCGAUGGUUGCCCCGGUUGUAAAGGACACGAUUGAGUGGAAGGUAACAUGGAUGGAGACAAGAAAAGCUGUGUGUAUCUGGAAGGAGCCCGUACCGCAAACCAACACAGGUAGAUAGGAAGAAGAUUCUAAGGCCAGCGGGAGAAGGGUUGUUAAGGAACUCGGCAAGUUGACCCCGUAACUUCGGGAGAAGGGGUGCUUACGAAGGUAAGCCGCAGAGAAUAGGCCCAAGCGACUGUUUAGCAAAAACACAGCUCUAUGCUAAAUCGAAAGAUGACGUAUAUGGGGUGACACCUGCCCGGUGCUGGAAGGUUAAGAGGAGAUGUGAGAGCAUUGAAUUGAAGCCCCAGUAAACGGCGGCCGUAACUAUAACGGUCCUAAGGUAGCGAAAUUCCUUGUCAGGUAAGUUCUGACCCGCACGAAUGG